GGUGUCGGCUUAAGUGCCAUAACGAGCGCAACCCUUUUCCAGAGUUACCAUCAGGUUAUGCUGGGGACUCUCUGGAUACUGCCAUCGUAAGAUGUGAGGAAGGUGGGGAUGACGUCAAAUCAGCACGGCCCUUACGUCCGGGGCUACACACGUGUUACAAUGGGGGGUACAGAGGGAAGCUACCGGGCGACCGGAUGCGGAUCCCGAAAACCUCUCUCAGUUCGGACUGGAGUCUGCAACCCGACUCCACGAAGCUGGAUUCGCUAGUAAUCGCGCAUCAGCCAUGGCGCGGUGAAUACGUUCCCGGGCCUUGUACACACCGCCGUCGACGCGGCCG
This 337-nucleotide ribosomal RNA is filed under the name uncultured bacterium. Its description in RNAcentral is "bacterial SSU rRNA". It matches the Rfam family "Bacterial small subunit ribosomal RNA", at positions 1071 to 1407 of the family's 1533-position model. The record is from RNAcentral.